CUAAAAUGGUGGAAGGAGAUUAGAUAUCAUCACUAGGAGAACAAAUAAAGAUGGGGGGUAAAUAAACAAAAUAAACUGCAAAGUACAUCCAAAGACUUAGGACAAAGGCCCCAGUGGAAACAGAUUAAAAUAUCAAAAUGGCAACAAAAGCGACAAACACAACAGAGGAGCCCUUAGCUGACCUCCUGAAUAGGUUUGAAGUUGCAAAUGUCAGGGACACGCAUGACUUAAGUGGAGGACAUUUAAAUGAGAGUAAUAUGUUAAAACAUGCUGAGAUCUCUAAUAGAAAGCCAUGGGAAAGUUCCCAGAAACCACACAUCAAUAUGAGAGAAGCCGGGAAACUUCAACAUGGUGGCAAGAAAAAUAAUGAGAGCCAAAAGACAAUGCUUGAUACAUUGAUAAACUUUAGCAUGGGAACAGCCGGAACACUAGAAAGUCCUACGAAAGUUCCAGAAAUGCCAAAUCCAAUAAAAUUCAUGCAGCCAGAUCUAACCUACAAAUUAGAACCAAUCGACAAUAAAUCAAAACCCAAGUCAAGACAAAAAUCGCCAGUUAAUACAUUACACACAGAAACAAUACCACGUGCAGCUGAUCAAAAACAUGAGAAAUCACUCCAACAAGAAACAAUGAAAAAUCCCAGAUUAUUAGAUCAAACUUUUAUACAGGAGCUAACAAUACCUGACCUCAUGUUACCUAAAAGUAAAUAUCAUGAUAGCGAUUACAUAGAUUCUGGAAGAGACUCUCCAAAGCAUGUGUUUGUGCCAAAUCAUUUGACUGCCAUUACUAAGAAGGAUCAGCAUCGACAAAUUAAAGAUUUUGAGCAGACUAUUGUGAGGAAACAUGAAACAAUGGAGCAGAAUGUACUUUCAGGGGUGAAAGCUGUUGAACAUCUAGAGAGGAAGCUAAGAGAGGACUUGGACACAUUGGAGUAUGAUGGCUAUGGACCUAACUUCCACAGGCUUCAAGUGUACAGUAAUGUAUAUGAGGACCUCAUUGCAGAUUCUCCCACACUGUCAUACAUCCUCAAAACUAUCAAGGCUGAGUAUGACAACUACAUAUCUUCACUCCUGGAUAGUCAAGCCCCCCAACAUUCCAUUCUGAAUGAACAGGUUGAACAAUUGCAAGCCAGGGGCACAUCCAAGCCAGAGUUAUUGAAUCGAGAACAAGAACGUCUGAAAAAACUUGAGAGCAGGGCCAAAGAGCUCUUGGAUCAGAGUGAUAAGCUGCAUGCUGACAUAGAAGAGGCAAAUGAACUCCUAGCAGAAGCUGAGGCUAUAGAACCACCAAAGAGAAGCACUCUUUACCAUGAGGAAACAAAACUUGACCCAUCUGACCAGGUAGAAGAACUACAUACAGCUAUCCUUGAGAAACUGGACCAGAUGAAGGUGAUCAGAGAUGGUCUGCAUGAGAAAUAUGUCCCCCUGUCUGUUUGUGGUCACCUGGAGCAGUGUAUAAAAGAGUCUGAUAUUGAAGUUCAGAAAUUGCUGAAACAGAAUGAGUUCUUUGAAAAGGGCAAUAAUGAAUUAGAGGGUGACCUGAAGGAAGCUAUUCAGGGUGCUGAACUAUCAGAGAGAGAACACAGGAAAGUGAAUCGUAGAAUCGAUGGAGUGAUGUCAUUGGACAGUAGCAGGUCUACUGCAUCUUCAGUGAGAAGUGUGAAAAGCAAAGUAGCGGGAACUGCACAGGGGGAAACAGGAGAUGUAGCCCCACAUCUCUCUGAGGGAGAAGAUGAACCAGUUAAUGAAGAUGAAAGCGACGAUGAUGAUGAUGAUAAAUGGGAAUUUUAUAUAUCAUAGACUGUGGUCUUUCAAGAUUUAAGAUGUUUUUGAUGAUUCUUAAUAUCCAAUGCUGUCCAAAUCAUAGGCUAUAGGAAAAACAAAAAGCAAAAAAAAAAUUUGAAGACAUUAUUAUCAUAACUUCCACGCAGUACCAAAAACAGCGUCAUAAAAACAUUGAACAAUAGUGAUAAUUGCAUACUUCUUUAUUUUUUAUUGCAAAUAAUACAUACUUUAUGUCGCAUUUAUUUAUUUAUUUAUGUAUGCCAUAUAUGUACGAUAACAGCUAAAAUAUACAGUUUGUGUCAAUUUGAAAUAUGAACACAUUUGUUCUGUGGCAUUUUUCUUGUAAAUGUGGACCCAAUUUCUAACUAUCAUUAUAAUUCCCCAUUGUAUAACCAUAGGUUUAUUUCAAACCUUUGUAACCCCUUCCCCUACACCUCACCUCCUGGGAGUGAAAGAGAAAGUGGAAUAGGGGGAGGGAAGGGGGUCUUAAGACUUGAUCCAAACUAGUGUUACCAUGGACUCACUUAAAGCCUUUGGUAUAACUGUCAUGAAUUUGCUUUCCUCCAUGUAGUUUCAUGAAAAAGAGAUCAAAUAAUAUCUAAUACAUAUGUAUGUUGUAUAAAGCUCAACACUGCAGUAUAAUAAUGUUUUCAGUUGAUAUUCAAAAUUGCUGAACUUAAUGGAUUAACCCCAGUAGGACUUGCAGAUUUAUCCAAAGAAUGUAGUGUCCAUAAAAAAGAAAUGCUAAUAUUCUAUUUUUUUACUUUGUUUAACACUGGUAUACAAGCAUUCAUUUGAUGAACAUGUAUAGUACUACACAUGUUUGAAUUGUAUGAUUUUAAAAUAAUAAAACAAUUUUUAGGCAACAAUACAAUCCUAGCAGGGUUAAAACCAAAUAAUGCAAAAGGGUUACACAUAAUGGUAUAGGCAGUGAACAGUUCCAAAAUAUUACACCUUUUGGUAAUUAUUUUAUGGACGUAUUGUUAUGAAAGUGUUGUAGUGACAUUCUGUCUUUCUUCAUUACAUUUGUAAACUAAUCAAAGAAAGUGCCUUAGGCAUGCCCAUGGGCGUUAUAAUGACAAGCUUCCAUUCAGUAAUUACCAGUAUGGACAUCAAUUUUUGUCAUGCGAUUUACAAUACUAUAUUAACCUUUCUCCCUUGAAAUUGAUCUCCCUCAAAAUGACUAAUCUCCCUAAUAUGUAUUUCAGUAAUUAUUACAAAUUCUGGUCACUGAUGUUCAGUACAUAACUUCAAGUAAAUUUUAUUUUUCGAUAAGCACCUUAUGAAUAAUGGUAGACUGUAUAUUUACAGUAAAACCUGUCUAUGUGAGUCCCUGUCCUCUUAAAAGCAAACACCUCAAAUUGGGAUCACAUCUUUGAGUACCCAUUUUGCUUCCCUAAUAUUAACACUAAUAUGAAUAUUUCAGUCAAUCUCAUAUACACAGUUUUUACUGCUUUUUUCUGAAGUACAUGUAUUACAUUGUAACCCUGGUUAUAAUUUUGGCAGCACAAUAUUUCCCACAUACAUUUAGCGCAAGGCAUUUCAAUGGUAAAGUUGAACCUUUUGUUAAAAUACCAUACCAUUCCAUUCUACAAGACAUACAGUGCCUAAAAGUACAAUUAAGCAACCUUGUCUGGAUGUACAGCUGUAUCAAAUGCUAGUUUGUAAAUUGGUUUAAUUUGGCCAAUUUGUCCUUUUGUGAAAAUAUAUCAAAAUACCAUAGGAUAACAUGGUACACGAGUAUUGGCGAAGAUCUGAAUUGGCAAUCUCAUACAGAAUUGGUGGAUCAGUAAAUUAAAGCAAUAUACAUAGCUGUUAAAUGCCAUGGAUUUAAUGACAAUAAAAUAAUGGAAAACAUAAAGGGGGUGAAAAUGUACUCUAUAAUCUUCUUCAAUAAAUUCUUAUUUAUUAUUUACAAUUUUUUUUACUUAUUGAAUGCUUUUUUCCAUGUACCAACAAAUAACACAACAAAUAACAACAAGAACAAAAAACAUUCGAUAGGCCCUCAAUGAUUCAAGACAGAUUUUCGUGCUGGUGAUCUAAAACUUGAUUUUACUCUUUCCCAACACCAUAACACUAUCAAUACAGCAUGUAUAGGCAGACGUUUUUCCAAUUUGUGAGUCCAACUAUGAUAAUUGGUAAAUCGAUGUAGCUUUGGAUAAGCUUUA
This 3949-nucleotide unclassified non-coding RNA is filed under the name Owenia fusiformis. RNAcentral describes it as "misc RNA OFUS_LOCUS23930". Lineage: Eukaryota; Metazoa; Annelida; Polychaeta; Sabellida; Oweniidae. The record is from RNAcentral.